GAGUAUGUAGCUCAGGUUGGUAGAGCGGUUUCCAAAAGAUUCGCGUCGCUGGUUCGAACCCAGCCAUACAAGCCG
This 75-nucleotide transfer RNA is filed under the name Serratia proteamaculans. Its description in RNAcentral is "tRNA-Trp". Lineage: Bacteria; Pseudomonadati; Pseudomonadota; Gammaproteobacteria; Enterobacterales; Yersiniaceae. The record is from RNAcentral.